Molecule: non-coding RNA, 191 nt
Organism: Coffea arabica (coffee)
Lineage: Eukaryota; Viridiplantae; Streptophyta; Magnoliopsida; Gentianales; Rubiaceae
Source: RefSeq, a predicted model, not a curated record
AUAUUGUGCUAUGUUACAUGUAUAUAGAAUGAUUGAUGGAAUGAAGUUGGAAGAAAGUUAGAAAUUUGGAGAAGGAUCUCAAGAGGACUUCGAGGGAACUCCCGGCGAAGCGUCUUAGAGCUAAUUUCUCAAACUUUGACUUUUGAUACUUGGUUUGGAAGUGGAAGUUCUGAGGCUUAAUUAGUGACCCC